AGAGUUUGAUCAUGGCUCAGGACGAACGCUGGCGGCGUGCCUAACACAUGCAAGUCGAACGGAGCGAACAGACGGAACUCUUCGGAGGGAAGACUGUAAGCUUAGUGGCGGACGGGUGAGUAACGCGUGAGCAACCUGCCCUUCAGAGGGGGACAACAGUUGGAAACGACUGCUAAUACCGCAUAUAAUGCCGAGUGGGCAUCCACAUGGUAUAAAAGGAGAAAUCCGCUGAAGGAUGGGCUCGCG
This 246-nucleotide ribosomal RNA is filed under the name uncultured bacterium. RNAcentral's name for it is "partial 16S ribosomal RNA". It matches the Rfam family "Bacterial small subunit ribosomal RNA", at positions 8 to 235 of the family's 1533-position model. The record is from RNAcentral.